CACAAAAAAUUACUUUACUUAACCGUUCAAAAACAAUUCGAGUUGUAGAUUUCGUCAGUACGUCAGAUAAAUUAUCAAUCGAAGAUAUUUUCUGUAAAUAAACUAAAUUCUUGUUAAUUAAAUCUCUAACGUGGUGAUAUGCAACAUCAAUAUGUCUGGUUCUUUUACUUUCUACCGUGUUUGCAACUGCAAUAGCUGCAUUACUAUCAGAAAAAAUCGGUAUUGUUUGAAUCGGAAUUUCUAGCUCAACAAAAAGAUUACGCCACGCCAUUGCGUGUUUUCCAGCUAAACUUAUUGCAACGUAUUCAGCUUCCGCGGAAGACGUCGAGACACAGCCUUGUUUUCUAACUACCCAAUCUAUGACAUUACCAUAAUGAUAAGUCAUGAUACCAGAGGUCGACUUUCUAUCUAAAACAUCUCCAGCGAAAUCAGAAUCAACGAAAAUACGAAACGAAUGUUUAUCAACUUUACCAGAUUUGGUUCCAUUGGAGUCGAAAUACGAUUACAAUUUUCAAGACCGAACUCUUUAAUCAGUACAUUUAUGUACGAUUUUUGAUGAAGAAGGAUACGAUUUUCAUUACGGUCAAACUCUAAUCCAACAAACUUUUUACAUUCACCAAGAUCACGAAUACCAAAACGAUUAUUUAAUUCACGUACCAGCCAUUCAAUUAAUGGAUUAUCACACCCUGUGAUAAGAAAAUCAUCGACAUAAACUACAAAAACGCAACGCAAUGGAUUAUUUUUAUCAAAAUAUACACACGGAUCGAUUUUUGAUCUUUCGAAACCCAACUACUCGAAAACCAAACAUCUUUUACUUCCAUUGCUUUCAACUCAGCAUCUAUCGCUUCUUGCCAAAACUUGGCUUCAGGACCACUCAAAGCUUUCUCGUACGUAAGUUCAUCAGCUCCAACCAUUGCAUAACAACUACAAUCAUCUGUAUCACUUGAAUCAACAUCAUCAUCACUUUCACUAAUAUGAUCUGUGGCCUGAUUACCAAUCGAAAUAUCAACCCAUGACGAACAUUCAGGUACAGGAUCACUAGUAUGAUCAAUUACGUUAAUAUUAGAAUCAUUUACCGAAUUCGUUCUAAUAUAUUCAUUAAUUACAUCGUGUAAUUUUCGUGUCUCGUCGACUAAUACAUUCGAACUAUUUUUAAUUUUGUUUGUAAAAACAUCAUACAACACAUAACCUGUCUCUGUGAAACCUACCAAAACAAGAUCAUUUGAUUUCUCAUCAAAUUUUUUCCUUUUUUCUUUAGGUACGUAAGUACGAGCUACAGAUCCAAAUAAACGAAUAUACGACAAAUCCGGUUUCUUUUUAUUCCAUACUUCAUACGGUGAUUUGAAACCAAGACUCGAAUGGGGUAAACGAUUAUACACGUAAUUUGCCGUAUACGCAGCAAAAAGCCAAAAUUUCGAAGUCAAACCUCCUUCCAAAAGAAAUGCACGUAUUUUUUCUUGAAUCGUACGGAAAAACCUUUCGACUGUGCCGUUAUGUUCCUUCUCAUACGGU
Long non-coding RNA from Planococcus citri (citrus mealybug), 1512 nucleotides. RefSeq lists it as uncharacterized. The transcript is spliced from 3 exons. NCBI's taxonomy places the organism in Eukaryota, Metazoa, Arthropoda, Insecta, Hemiptera, Pseudococcidae. The record is from RefSeq and is a predicted model, not a curated record.